CCUACGGGUGGCAGCAGUGAGGAAUAUUGGUCAAUGGGCGGAAGCCUGAACCAGCCAAGUAGCGUGCGGGAUGAAGGCCCUACGGGUCGUAAACCUCUUUUGCACGGGGAUAACACCCUCCACUUGUGGAGGUCUGCAGGUACCUGGCGAAAAAGGGCCGGCUAAUUCCGUGCCAGCAGCCGCGGUAAUACGGAAGGCCCGAGCGUUAUCCGGAUUCAUUGGGCUUAAAGGGAGCGUAGGCGGGCGUUCAAGUCAGCUGUAAAAUCGCGCGGCUCAACCGCGCCCCGCAGUUGAAACUGGGAGUCUUGAGUUGACGACAGGCAGGCGGAAUGCGUGGUGUAGCGGUGAAAUGCAUAGAUAUCACGAAGAACCCCGAUUGCGAAGGCAGUAUGCCGG
Molecule: ribosomal RNA, 396 nt
Filed under: uncultured bacterium
Lineage: Bacteria
Description: partial 16S ribosomal RNA
Rfam family: Bacterial small subunit ribosomal RNA
Source: RNAcentral